Molecule: ribosomal RNA, 398 nt
Filed under: uncultured bacterium
Lineage: Bacteria
Description: bacterial SSU rRNA
Rfam family: Bacterial small subunit ribosomal RNA
Source: RNAcentral
AAUCAACGCUGGCGGCGUGCCUCAGACAUGCAAGUCGAACGCGAAAGUUCCCUUCGGGGAAUAAGUAGAGUGGCGCACGGGUGAGUAACACGUAGGUAAUCUACCUUCGGGUGGGGAAUAACCCAGGGAAACUUGGGCUAACACCGCAUGAUGCAGCGGCACCACAUGGUGACAGUUGUUAAAGCGGGGGAUUUUCGGACCUCGCGCCUGAAGAGGAGCCUGCGGCGGAUUAGCUAGUUGGUAAGGUAACGGCUUACCAAGGCGACGAUCCGUAGCCGGCCUGAGAGGGCGGUCGGCCACACUGACACUGACAUACGGGUCAGACUCCUACGGGAGGCAGCAGUCGGGAAUUUUGGGCAAUGGGCGAAAGCCUGACCCAGCAACGCCGCCGUGAAGGA